GCGCGGGUGGCGGAACUGGUAGACGCGCAAGGUUGAGGGCCUUGUGGCCGCAAGGCUGUGAGGGUUCGAGUCCCUCCUCGCGCACCA
RNAcentral lists this transfer RNA (87 nucleotides) under Alphaproteobacteria bacterium. Its description in RNAcentral is "tRNA-Leu". It matches the Rfam family "tRNA". From Rfam's summary of the family: Transfer RNA (tRNA) molecules are approximately 80 nucleotides in length. Their secondary structure includes four short double-helical elements and three loops (D, anti-codon, and T loops). The record is from RNAcentral. Lineage: Bacteria; Pseudomonadati; Pseudomonadota; Alphaproteobacteria.